Molecule: small nucleolar RNA, 73 nt
Filed under: Peromyscus maniculatus bairdii (prairie deer mouse)
Lineage: Eukaryota; Metazoa; Chordata; Mammalia; Rodentia; Cricetidae
Also listed under: 1 other name
Description: Small nucleolar RNA SNORD63 (ENSPEMG00000005805.2)
Rfam family: Small nucleolar RNA SNORD63
About the family: snoRNA U63 is found in both humans and mice. U63 is a member of the C/D class of snoRNA which contain C (UGAUGA) and D (CUGA) box motifs. Most of the members of the box C/D family function in directing site-specific 2'-O-methylation of substrate RNAs.
Source: Rfam by way of RNAcentral
GUGCAGUGAUGUAUGUAUUUGUCAACACAUCAUUCUGAAAAAAGUAUGUGAUGACAUCUUAUGACUGAGCACA